This is a long non-coding RNA of Nematostella vectensis (starlet sea anemone), 1216 nucleotides long. RefSeq lists it as uncharacterized. Lineage: Eukaryota; Metazoa; Cnidaria; Anthozoa; Actiniaria; Edwardsiidae. The record is from RefSeq and is a predicted model, not a curated record. The transcript has 2 exons.
GAGCGCAACGGAACGUCGGUAAAAUGCAUGACUUUAACAGCACGAAAUGGCAAAAAGAGAGAAAAAUGUCGAGACUAAUGUACUUUUUCCAUGUUGGGGAUUUUUGUUUUCGACUCUAAUCUGACAGUUGACUGAAAUCUUGUCUUUCUUUUAAGUUGUUUAUGCUUAAUCUAAAUGAAUUCACUCCGAGAUUUCAUCUCUUGUCUUUCUUUGGAGAUGUUCUUUAAUCUAAAUGAAUUCACCCCGAGAUUUCAUCUUGGUUUUUCUAAAUGGGAUGUAAUUACUUCAAUACAAAUAGCGCUCGUCAAAGAUGCCACAGUGAGAAGGGUUAUCUUGGCAUCUCGCACGCUCGGAGUUUUAAUGAAGUAGCUGGCGCGAUGCAUGGUGUUUCUGGCGCACCAUCAGACACCGUGAGGGCGUGCUGUGAGUGAUACGUAUGCGAUAAACGGGCGAUAAUACCACUCUUGAGUGACAACCAUGUCCACCAUUUGUUGGACUUCAGAGUGGUAUUCAUUGUACAAUCACGUUGUUUGCUAAGGGAUAAUGAAUCAAUUUAUGUUUAGCAUAGUCAUCUCUUUCGUUAUUAACUUCUAAGGAAUGUAAAUGAGCACAAAGCUAAUUAAUUAGGAGUGUGGUUCCGCACAAAAAAAUAAGCACUUUCUCUUAGUAAAGUUACUUUUUUUUGCUAGACUUUGAAAUCUUAUCGGGAGGUCCCAGCAAGACUUUCAACUAUGGUUGCUUGGUAACCUUUUAAAGAAAACGUGGCACCCACCGAAUAUAAGAUGAGCCAAGUUCAAUAUACGAGAAUUAGAAUAAACGGAAGUUUUCAUUGUAAAAGUAAUUCCACUUUAUUCGUCAAGUCACGAUGGCAGGAAAGCCUGGGUACCACUUGCUCUACACAUUAGAUACUGACUCGUUCCCGGUCGUGAUCGUGUGCGGAGAAAGAAAAAAAGAGGGCGCGCAAAGGUUCACGGACAGUGAGAAGCAGGACAAUGCAAACGCAAUGCAUGAUGGACCGUCACAAGAGCUCGAAUCUCACGCCUUUCUGUGGUCCUUUGCGCGCCACGUAUAACCCAGCCCAGACUUGGGUCGAGAGAGCAUUAGAUAAGAAUUGAAGUAUUGGGCCCAUACUGACGGUAACAACACAAGACAGACUAGACUAAAACUGAUAGGCGAUCUGUACAUUAAGGUAUUAAAAGAAAUGCCAUAUAUAACA